Molecule: ribosomal RNA, 1069 nt
Filed under: uncultured dinoflagellate
Lineage: Eukaryota; Dinophyceae
Description: SSU rRNA
Rfam family: Eukaryotic small subunit ribosomal RNA
Source: RNAcentral
CGGUAAUUCCAGCUCCAAUAGCGUAUAUUAAAGUUGUUGCGGUUAAAAAGCUCGUAGUUGGAUUUCUGUUGAGGUUGGGUGGUCCCUUCUCCGAAGGCGUAUUUGCUUCGAUCUCGGCAUCCUUCUGAAAGACUGUGCUGCCCUUCAUUGAGUGGUCAGGAUUUCAGGACUUUUACUUUGAGGAAAUUAGAGUGUUUACGGCAGGCAGGCGCCUUGAAUAUAUUAGCAUGGAAUAAUGAUAUAAGACCUUGGUUUUAUUUUGUUGGUUUCUAGAGCUAAGGUAAUGAUUAACAGGGAUAUUUGGGGGUAUUUGUAUUACACGGUCAGAGGUGGAAUUCUUGGAUUCGUGUACGACAAACUACUGCGAAAGCAUUUACCAAGGAUGUUUUCAUUGAUCAAGAACGAAAGUGUGGGGAUCGAAGAUGAUUAGAUACCGUCGUAGUCUACACCAUAAACUAUGCCGACUAGAGAUUGGAGGUUGUCUUCUUAUAACUCCUUCAGCACCUUUCGAGAAAUCAAAGUUUUUGGGUUCUGGGGGGAGUAUGGUCGCAAGGCUGGAACUUAAAGGAAUUGACGGAAGGGCACCACCAGGAGUGGAGCCUGCGGCUUAAUUUGACUCAACACGGGAAAACUUACCAGGUCCAGACAUAACGAGGAUUGACAGAUUGAUAGCUCUUUCUUGAUUUUAUGGGUGGUGGUGCAUGGCCGUUCUUAGUUGGUGGAGUGAUUUGUCUGGUUAAUUCCGUUAACGAACGAGACCUUUAUCUGCUAAAUAGCCAAAUGUAUCUUCGGAUACAUUGCCGGCUUCUUAGAGAGACUUUGUGUGUUUAAUGCAAGGAAGUUAGAGGCAAUAACAGGUCUGUGAUGCCCUUAGAUGUUCUGGGCUGCACGCGCGCUACACUGAUGCGUUCAACGAGUUUCCCUUAGCCGGUAGGCUCGGGUAAUCUUUUGAACACGCAUCGUGAUGGGGAUAGAUUAUUGUAAUUAUUAAUCUUCAACGAGGAAUUCCUAGUAGGUGCAAGUCAUCAGCUUGCAUCGAUUACGUCCCUGCCCCUUGUACACACCGCCC